UCUCCGUUGGUGAACCUGCGGAGGGAUCAUUACAGAGUUAUAAAACUCCCAAACCCAUGUGAACUUACCAUUUGUUGCCUCGGCAGAACCUACCCGGUAACUGUUCGGAGAAGCUACCCUGUAGCGAGUUACCCCGGAACGACUUACCCUGUAACGCCUGCCGGUGGACUACUAAACUCUUGUUAUUUUUAAAGUAAUCUGAGCGUCUUAUUUUAAUAAGUCAAAACUUUCAACAACGGAUCUCUUGGUUCUGGCAUCGAUGAAGAACGCAGC
RNAcentral lists this unclassified non-coding RNA (273 nucleotides) under uncultured fungus. RNAcentral describes it as "sequence contains ITS1, 5.8S rRNA gene". The stretch from base 225 to 273 matches the Rfam family "5.8S ribosomal RNA", at positions 1 to 49 of the family's 154-position model. The record is from RNAcentral. Lineage: Eukaryota; Fungi.